GAGACGACAAGUUACAAUCUUUUGACCUGAGCCUUUCAAAGUAAGGUCGAAGCUGGCGAAAAGAAGUGGCGAAAAGAAGCAAUGGAAUUCUUCCUUCUGCCUGGCCUUCUUGUGCUCGUCGUGAGGUACGUCAUUGGCGACAGCUGCGUAGAACAAAACCCGUUCGGUUGCCAGUCAAACCACCCAGCUAUAUGCCGAGACGAGUUGUUGGCAACGCUAAUGUGUCCAGUAACAUGCAAAAAAUGUCGUAUGGAUGCGUUUCUACUGCUGAUUUGUUUUGCAUUUACUGACACACUGGCAGACACAACUAGUCCUGCAGCUUCAGCGAUUGCCAACGUUGAAGAGACGAGAGUGCCGAUGGCGUUGAAAGACUAUUUGCAAGAUACAUGGAAAUGGUUCUUCCUGAGAAUGUUUCUAAAGCCUUGUGUGUCUCGGUCAAGAAGUGCUGCAAGAUUGUUUUUGGUCGUCGAAACAUCAAUACCGGAAACGUUGCCAUCCAUUGCUGCUCGUCUGAUUUAUGUAACGCAGCACCCACCACCACCACGUCGAUAAGGACGACCACGACAACAACACCUACGCCCACUUGCGACACGAGUAACAAGUAUCAUCGAUUGUCAUAUAACAACACACGUUUCUGUAUUAAAAUACAUUAUGAGCCCUUGGAAUGGGGCGCUGCUCGCCGUGCGUGCAUGUCAGAGCACGCAGUUCUCGUAGUCUUGAAUCGUCAUGACAAAUACGCUGCAAUGACAUCUCAUCUUCGAAAUGUAUACAUCGUAUACAUCGACCACAGUGAUAUAUGGAUCACAGUUUCUAACAAAGCCGCUCUUUCUACUGGCUGAAUAACUAAUCACUCCCAUCGCAGUCAACUGAAUGGGGGCGUGGCCAGCCUGACGAUCGGAUCGAUAACCACCAACACGAGGACUGUGUUACCAUAGAACCUCAAAACAGAUUCAAAUAUUCACGACCGUGCAUGUUAUCACUAUUUUAAAUUUAUAUGUGAACGAACAUUAUAAAACUUUGUAUAACGAG
RNA transcript from Dreissena polymorpha, 1029 nucleotides. It is a transcript of the gene named tetranectin-like protein, with no coding region annotated. Lineage: Eukaryota; Metazoa; Mollusca; Bivalvia; Myida; Dreissenidae. The transcript has 6 exons. The record is from RefSeq and is a predicted model, not a curated record.